GCGCCGGUAGUCUAGUGGUAGGACGUAGGCCUGCCUAGCCUAAGACCCGGGUUCGAAUCCCGGCCGGCGCA
This is a transfer RNA of Candidatus Nanopusillus sp., 71 nucleotides long. It matches the Rfam family "tRNA". From Rfam's summary of the family: Transfer RNA (tRNA) molecules are approximately 80 nucleotides in length. Their secondary structure includes four short double-helical elements and three loops (D, anti-codon, and T loops). Further hydrogen bonds mediate the characteristic L-shaped molecular structure. tRNAs have two regions of fundamental functional importance: the anti-codon, which is responsible for specific mRNA codon recognition, and the 3' end, to which the tRNAs corresponding amino acid is attached (by aminoacyl-tRNA synthetases). tRNAs cope with the degeneracy of the genetic code in two manners: having more than one tRNA (with a specific anti-codon) for a particular amino acid; and 'wobble' base-pairing, i.e. permitting non-standard base-pairing at the 3rd anti-codon position. The record is from Rfam. Lineage: Archaea; Nanobdellati; Nanobdellota; Candidatus Nanoarchaeia; Nanoarchaeales; Nanopusillaceae.